CAGUAGCCGCGGGAAUACGGAGGGUGCAAGCGUUAAUCGGAAUUACUGGGCGUAAAGCGCACGCAGGCGGUUUGUUAAGUCAGAUGUGAAAUCCCCGAGCUUAACUUGGGAACUGCAUUUGAAACUGGCAAGCUAGAGUCUUGUAGAGGGGGGUAGAAUUCCAGGUGUAGCGGUGAAAUGCGUAGAGAUCUGGAGGAAUACCGGUGGCGAAGGCGGCCAUCUGGGACAACACUGACGCUGAGGCACGAAAGCGUGGGGAGCAAACAGGAUUAGAUACCCGAGUAGUCCCUGUCUCUUAUAC
Molecule: ribosomal RNA, 301 nt
Filed under: uncultured bacterium
Lineage: Bacteria
Description: partial 16S ribosomal RNA
Rfam family: Bacterial small subunit ribosomal RNA
Source: RNAcentral